CGAUGGGUCAUUAUUACUUUUGGUACGCGCUGUGACACAUCAAACUCGUACCGUGAGUAAUAAUGCGCCAUUG
Non-coding RNA from Sarcophilus harrisii (Tasmanian devil), 73 nucleotides. Lineage: Eukaryota; Metazoa; Chordata; Mammalia; Dasyuromorphia; Dasyuridae. The record is from Rfam.